Molecule: long non-coding RNA, 767 nt
Filed under: Mus musculus (house mouse)
Lineage: Eukaryota; Metazoa; Chordata; Mammalia; Rodentia; Muridae
Description: predicted gene, 30624
Source: RNAcentral
GAAACUAAUCCUAUAAUCCUUUUCUUCCUAACAGAAGAGCAGUGGAAUGCUGUGGGCCGGAGAAACUCAGGCAGCUGGCAGUUUGACUCUUAAGCACCAGCAUGGUAGACACCAGCCUCCCCUCUCAGUCCUGCGGGCCGUGAAGUGGUGAUAAUAACACACUCUGAGCAGCUGGAGAUUUCUCUGGAGCCAGACUACAGGGGAGACCAUGAAGAAGAAAAUACAGAUGAAACAGGAAGAGCUGAGAAUGCUCCCCUAUGGAGAUGAGCUAGCCCGUUUCCCCUGUCAGCUGGAAUAAGAGCGUGUUUCCAGGAUGCUGUAUACCGCCAUCAGAGCUUAUGACCCACCUGAUUGCAGUAUGAGUGCCUGCGGCUUCUUCCUUCCCCAUGGCCCCAGACAGUGGCCGGCAGGGAGGCUGUGGGCAAGAGAGAGAACACAUGGCUCAGAGCACAUGGGCAAAUACAGCGCAUAUGGUGGCUGAAUUACAAAGUCAUUGCUGGAGAAGUGGAAACAGUGUGAGGAAUUUGGAAAGGCUGCUGCAAGGUGUUGGCUCUUUUUAUUCCAGCCUCAGUGAUUGACCUGUCACCUGUCACCUGUCACCUGUCACCUGUGGCCUGUCACCUGUCACCUGUCACCUGUCACCUGUGGCCUAUGGCCUUGUGUGAACCAUCUUUCAUCUUAGGAAGAGAAAAAGGAAGAGGAAAACAUAGGAAGCACAGAUGAGGGCAGCCCUCCCUGCUCUCAGUCUUACAUAUUGAAAAAAAAAA